GUUCGAGAACACAGUAAAUUUUUGCACAUAUUUUUUGUAAAAAAAAACUUUUCUAAUUUCCAUACGUGAUUUUAACAUUUUUAUUUUGCCCUGAGGUUCACCCCUAAUCGAUUUUUUUUCCCUGUACAUUACCUAUCCGACGCGGUUUUGCACAACAAAUUGAGGGUUAUUUUCGAUUAAACAGUCCAAGCGAACGCAACGAUCGAGUGACCCCGCUAGAUCUCUUAAGUGCACCCAAAAGCCAAAAUGCAUGUUUUCAAAAAAAAAAAAAAAUUGAAAAACAAGGUAUCCGGUAAAAUAAACUUAUAUUACUGUGGUGAUAAAUAAUGAUAAAC
Non-coding RNA from Cinara cedri, 335 nucleotides. The record is from the annotation of a GenBank genome assembly. Lineage: Eukaryota; Metazoa; Arthropoda; Insecta; Hemiptera; Aphididae.